UGCAGGUCUGCAGACCAGAGUCACGAAUGGGCCAGUGGUUUACAGUCCCUGAUAAUGAGAGAUGGAACAGAAAAUUCCUCUAGGAAACUGAGAUGAGAUGUUAAUGAGUACUAAUUGAUCUCUGAGCUUCAUCGCAGGCCGGGAAAAACCAUGACACAGGAGUUAUUUUUUAUGUUGCAGACUUGCUUCUCCUUGUCAGAGUGAUCCCGCAAAGAUGACCUUAGUGAUGCAGAUACUGUGAAUUAAAAUCAUUUGUUCUGAAAGGUGGGACCAAGAUGUAAGCUUCAGGAAACGUUGCCUCAUCUACUUUCAAGGUGGGGCUUCCUCAUUAAAGUGCCUGUACGAUGUUUCUCCUUCCCAGAGAUGAAGGAUAAAAAAAGAAUAAAACCAUCAGGCAUUUUUGUUGAACUAUG
Long non-coding RNA from Piliocolobus tephrosceles (Ugandan red Colobus), 413 nucleotides. RefSeq lists it as uncharacterized. The record is from RefSeq and is a predicted model, not a curated record. Lineage: Eukaryota; Metazoa; Chordata; Mammalia; Primates; Cercopithecidae. The transcript is spliced from 2 exons.